AACAUCGCGCACCUGCGGGAACCUGCGGAGGGAUCAUUACAGAGUUCAUGCCCUCACGGGUAGAUCUCCCACCCUUGAAUACUAUACCUUUGUUGCUUUGGCGGGCCGCUUUGGCUACUGGCUCUGGCUAGUAAGUGCCCGCCAAAGAACCCCAAAACUCUGAAUAUUAGUGUCGUCUGAGUACUAUAUAAUAGUUAAAACUUUCAACAACGGAUCU
This 217-nucleotide unclassified non-coding RNA is filed under the name soil metagenome. RNAcentral describes it as "partial contains 5.8S ribosomal RNA, internal transcribed spacer 2, and large subunit ribosomal RNA". The record is from RNAcentral.